GAAUUUCGCCGAUGUGUCGAUUUCAUUCCGAUUUGCAUCUCGCUGGAAUGAUUGAGGACAAUGAUUCGAUGAGCUAUAAGGCGACGGAAAUGCAUUUAUGCACAAUCUACUGCGACUUCCUAAAUGCUGAUCACUUUGCACUGAUUGAUCGAUACUGUAUCAGUCACUGUCACUUGUCACGGAAUACGUAAUCCACCACCGCGAAGGAGAUAAGAAGAGAACAGGUGCGGCGAGAUAGUCGGACGUAAAGACAGAGAGAAGAGAAAAUGGGAAGGUUUUAAAUGGGAAAGCUGAUCAGUGAAUGAAUGGCUUCGUACUCACCAAGCGCAUGAUGCUGUCUGUGCCCACGCUCGUUCGGCUCUUGGCUUUUACUUGGGAAGAUGAUCACCACGUAGACACAAAAAUAGCGAAAUGUGAGAAGAACAGUAUGUACUUCAAGGAUUAAAAAGAAUAAUCAGGAAAUAAAGAUAUAAAAAAAUAAAAUUAUUUGUGCGAACAUCUGUUUCUCUCGAUGAUUCACCUGGCAGAUCACGGCUUGUACAUUCUAGAGGUAAAUUUAUUCAGGUAAAAUCAGGUAAUUGUUAUGACGAAUGAUUUAUAUACUACUGUAAAGAAUUUAAUACAAUAAUUC
This is a non-coding RNA of Linepithema humile (Argentine ant), 631 nucleotides long. Lineage: Eukaryota; Metazoa; Arthropoda; Insecta; Hymenoptera; Formicidae. The record is from RefSeq and is a predicted model, not a curated record.